GCAACCUAAUUGGUUUGGCCAAUUGAAAACGCAACAGGAUCUAAGAUUUUAUAGUAAAACAACCCCAUGAUUACCACAAAUUAAAGAAAGCAGGCAAAUAGGGAGUUUCUAAGGAUAAGCUUCAAUGACAGAUUGUAUUGCAUGAAUAGGUUCUACAUUGAAUCUGGUGAACCCUGCCUCUCCAAGAACAUACUUCCAUUCCUUCAAUGUCCUUUCUUUGCCUUUGUUAGCAUGUGCCAUCAUCACCAUGUCUAAUAUCAACCUCACGAAAUCUAGCUGCUCUCUUUUUAUCUUCUUCCACCACCGCUUGAUCUAUUAUAGCCUCCCCUUUGUCUUCCGGGAUAGCUUCUCUACAUUUCUUUAGGAUUUUUAUGCAUUCCUCAUCAUCCCAGUCAUGUUACACCUUCUGCAAUUCACGAACAUACAUAUAUAUACGUCCUUAAAAGAGUGGGUUUGGUGGUAUAUUGUGGCGCUGAACCGAAGGAACCGAAGUUUUCAUUACUAACCAUUAAGAAAGCAGCGCCCGUCUUUGGGACACACUCGAACAUGUCUCCUCCUAUGUUUUCGACGCCAUCGACUUUUGCUGCAACAGCCACAACAUAAGGAAGAUCGAAGUGGAUGCCAUGAAUCCAAGGGAAUGCCUUUCCCAACAUUGCUAAACCAGUCCCAUUACUUCCACCAAAAUCAACCAAACUUUUAAUGCCAUCAAACACUUGAGGACAUUCUUCGAUUAUGGCUGGCACCGCCACUCUAGCUUCACAAGCCAUUGCUUCGUCUAUGAAUUUGCUAUGUCCUGGGUUCUUCUCUGCAUAGCUCCAUACAUCCUUCCCGUUUGCUGUCUCAAACGGGGAAUUCCCACUGUCAAGGACACGAGAACUUAGACUAUGCCAUGGUGCUAACAUAACAGGGCUGCUCUCUAGUAGAAUCAAAGUCGCCAUGUCGAAUCAAUCGACGAGACAAAAGUGAGUGCAAAACCAGUGGAAUUACAACUUAAAUUGUAAUAUAGUAAAGUUUACAACAAAACACUAGUAAGUAUUCUAAGGACCGUACUCAAGAAAUUGCAUAUAGGAGAAAUAUUUAUUAAAUUAAUUAUAGAAAAUAAUUACUAAUCUAAUCGAGUCAAGAAUUAGUAGUGCGAAUCCAAAUUAAUAUUUUAAUUAAAUUAAUUAAAUAAUUAUAUUAUUCUAGAUUAAGUUAUUUAUCACCCUUAGCUAAGACAAUCCUCCCGGUGUAUCUUCAUUAAGAAUUACCACUUAAGUUACCCUUCUAAUCUCUUCCUAGACAUGCAAAUACUCUUUCGGCUCCCUUGUCUCGCGGUUUGAUCAUCAUCCCUUGUAUUCUUGGACCUUAAUUGACAUCCUACACACUUAAUUAGUCCAUGUGUCACUCACGGGGCCUGAGUCGGCCUUACGGGUCAUCGAAAUGGUAGAAAAUGUGUAAAAAUAUUUAUUUUAUUAAUAUUUUAUUUCUAACCUACUAAUUCUGAAAAUGCAAUACUUAAUUAUAAAAUGCCAAGAAGACAAGCUCAUUAAGUGUAAAAAUGACCUAAAAUAACUACUACAUUUGACAUCAGGUCAAAUACCCCCAUACUUAAGUGUUUGUGUCGAAACCACUUUUUGAAUACAAAAAUAGUUUCGACUUUAAAAAAAUGAAAAUUGGAGUCACCACCGAUCUUUUAUCAAGGUGUGAUCGGAUCACCUAAAAACAAUUUUGGUCUUCGAAUUAAAACAAUGGGUUCGAGAGUCGGUUUCGACGAAGAAGGGUUAGCACCAUCGUAACGCCCAAAAUUGGUACUGAAUUGAUUAUUUAAUGUCUUAGUGUCGAAAAUUUGAAAAGAUUUUAAAAUACGAUUUUUUAAAAGAAAGUUUGAAUAAAUUAAAUUGGAUGAUAAGACCCUCUUAUUUCAAAGAAGUAAAAUGACACACCCAGUGAAUUAAGGUGCAUCAUUUUUAAUCCUCGAAACUAAGUUUGUCUUUUGACUUUUAAAACUCAUGCAUUUAAGUUUGAGAAGGAUAUUUGAUUAUUUAGGUCAAAUGAAAAAUCAGAAUUCAGUAAGUAAGAGUUCAAUUUCUCAAAAUUCCAAAUACCGAAUAUUGCCUUUAUUUUUAGAAAUCGUUAACUCAAGGUAGCAAAAUGUCAUAUCCAGUGAGUUAGGACACAACGUUUUGAAAUCCCAAGAAUAAACUUUUAUUUGAAAUUUGUACAAUUUUAUUGAAAAAGGGAUACUCGGUUAUUUGAAUUUAACGAGAAAAAUUAAAGCCCAGCAAGUUAAGGCACAAUCUUCUCGAAAAUCUUGGAUACCGAGUCUAGUUUCAUAAACUUUUGUAUAAGAAUGUAAUGUAAUUGAAUGACAACAAACGACGCAAAAUGGAUAAUUUGUAAAUAAAUCGUACAUUAAUCAAAUAAACAAUAGAUGAAUACAAACGAAUAAUACACAUAGCAAUAAUAAUCUCAAUCAUAUAUUAUGCAAAUGCUACCAAUAUCAACAUCAAGAAAAUUAAAUGAAUUAUCAAUCUAUUUUAAAAUAUAUAUAAAAAAACAAAGAAAAAAAUAAUCAAAAAAUUAAACAUACAAGAAUUCUAAAAUAAACUAUAUAUGAGUUUGAAAUAGAUUCAAAAUAGAAUUAGAAAAACAUACACUAAUAGUAUUUAUAUGAAUUUUAAAGCAAGUAUUAUAUAAGAAGGAAAUUAAAAUACAUCAAAUAAUGUACAUAUAUUAAUUUAAAAUAAGUAAUACAUAGGGCGUAAAGGAAACUUCAUGCAAACAAUAAUAUAUAAUAAUAUGCAAAAAGUAAAAUAAACUAAAUAUAUGAGGAUAUUUAAAAGAAGUAAAGUAUCUAUAUAUAGAAAUAGGUAUAAAAAAUAUAUAGUUUAAAAUUAAAUAAUAUAUAUUACGUAAGUAUAUAUAUGUAUAAUAAAAACAGUUUAAAAAGAAUAGUAAAUAAUAAGGUAAUAUAUAUAAAUAGGGAAAUAAAAAUAUAAUCAAAUAUAAUAAUAUCAAUAACAAUAAUAAAUAUUAAUAAUAAAAAUAAAAAUAUAUAAAAAUAAAUUAAUUAAUAGAAAAAAUAUCAAUCAGGACAAAAUUGGAAUGAAAACAGAAAUUCUGGGGCAAAUUUGAAAUAAAUAAAAAGGAAAAGGGUCAAAUCGAGUGCGUGAAUAACAAGAAGGGACUAAAGCGGAAAAUAUCCCCGCCCUCCAAAACGCAGCACCUUACAUGGGGCAAAUAUGAAAUCAAAGCAAAAUUUAGGGUAAAAUUAGGAAUAAAAGAGAACUUAAUUACAAAACCAUUAAAAGGCGAAAGGACCAGGGUUGUAAAUAACCCAUUUAACGAAAACACGCGGAUCCCCUAUGGAGCAGGUCGGGUCGCGCACGGGUUGCUUAUACGACGUCGUUUUGGCGCUGAGGGCUCUAACCCAAAACGGCGCCGUUUCUAAUUGUUAUUUAAAUAAAAAAAACUAUUUAAAAAAAAACAUUCUCAGAAGGAAUACUUUUUUUAAAAAAAAAAAGAAAAAGAAAAUGGGCUCUUCUCUGCUAGGGUUUUUCCCCUAGCAAUGUGACGCCACGAACAAGGUUUUCUGCCAUGGCUCCGCCACCGACAACCACCGCACAUGGCAGUCGGAGCCUCAAAAAUCCCCUUUCUCCGGCGAAUCAAAGGAUGUAUCCACUUCCUCUCAUUUUAUUUUUCUAUAUAUAUGCGUAUAAAUGGAUAAAAGAAAAGAAACAUAUUCGGGAAAACUCACCUGUUUUUUGAUUUUAUUUCAUUGCUCCUUUUUUUCUGUUUACAAUCCCUUUUCUUUCUUUUCACUUUUACAAUCAAGUCUGCUUUUUAUUGCUGAUAAUGGAAAAAGGAAAAUGUAAAAAAAAAAGCUAACUUUAAAUGCAUUAUUUGCCUUUGAUUUGCGAUUUUCUGAUUUUAUUGCUUGUUGCCAUUUUUGUUGUGCAGGUACAAGCUUGGAGGGGACGCACGCGAGCGGUGGCACAGCACGCGCGGGGGAAGGCCUGGCUGUUGAGGCGCUGGGAGCUAGAUGCUGCUAGGGUUUUUGGUUCUAUUUUUUGUUUAGGUUGGGCUUAUUGGGCUAGGGGUAUUUAGGCUAGUGGGCUAAAUUAAAUUUAGGCUUUGGGUUAGGGUUUGGGCUAGUGUAAUUGGGUAGUGAAUUUGGGCUUUAAGUUUGGGUUUGUAAAAAGAAACUGGACUGUUUUAUUAUUUUGGUUUUUAUUUUGGUGCUUAUUUAUUUAAUUGGGCCCGGGGCAAAAUUAGGUAUUAUAACUGCCCCUCUUUGCUCAUUAUCGUGUAAUUGGAAUAGAGCAAAGACUUUUAAAAAUAGUCAAUUUUUCCUAGUCAUACUUGAUCUUGGUGUUGCUCUUCCUCAAACAGCCUCAUUCCACCCUACUGCAUCUUCAGAGGUAUUGGUGCUUCGAUCCACUCCACUGUAAAAUAGGAUUUGUAGCUCUUCAAGGGAACAUUUGCUAUCUUCAGUCAGCUUCACUGCAACUUCAGAAAGAUAAAACUUGUAGCUUCCACUUGUUUCACUGUAAUUUUAAGGAAAUAAGGUCUGAUGCGAUCUACUCUACUGCAACUUCAGAGAGAUAAGAUCCAUCAUUUAAUCCGCUCCACUGCAACUUUAGGGAGAUAGGAUUGGUUUCUUUAAUCUGCUCCAGGGAGAUAAGAUUCGCUGCCUUCAACCUUAAUCUGCUCCGCUGCAACGUCAUGGAAACAAGAUUCGAUACCUUUAGCUUUAACCUGUUCCAUUGUAAUGCCCAAGAGAUAGGAUUCGCUGCCUUCAUCUUUAAUCCACUCAACUUCAGAUUUAAUCUAUUUCACUGCAACGCCAGGGAAAUAAGAUUUGCUGCCUUCAGUAUUUAUGCCAGGGAGAUAAGAUUCGCUGCCUUCAGCUUUAAUCUGCUCCGCUGCAACACCAGGGAAACAAUAUUUGCUACCUUUAGCU
RNAcentral lists this long non-coding RNA (4945 nucleotides) under Gossypium barbadense (sea-island cotton). RNAcentral describes it as "long non-coding RNA (GBAR_LNC021458)". Lineage: Eukaryota; Viridiplantae; Streptophyta; Magnoliopsida; Malvales; Malvaceae. The record is from RNAcentral.